This 533-nucleotide unclassified non-coding RNA is filed under the name Hevea brasiliensis (rubber tree). The record is from RNAcentral. Lineage: Eukaryota; Viridiplantae; Streptophyta; Magnoliopsida; Malpighiales; Euphorbiaceae.
ACCCAAAUAAAGCUUAAUAAUUUUUUUUUUCUUCUUCUUUUGAUUAGAGGUAUAUACUUAUUUUAUUUAUUAUUUUUGGUUUGAUGGGUAAUGAGAUUGGUAAACUCACGGUCUGUUUCACGGGAGCCGGAGAGGCUCGACGGAGACAUUACAGACAUGACAUACCGGUGUUGAUAUCAGACCCGCUUGAUGAGGGCCUCGGUCACUCCUUCUGCUACGUCCGGCCGGAACCUACACCGCUUUCCUCCUCUAAAGUCCACUCCGAGGAAACCAACACCUUCCGUACAAUCUCCGGUGCCUCCGUGAGCGCUAACACAUCGACGCCGCUCUCAACGGCCUUCAUAGAUCCUUAUGUGUAUAAUAGUAUUGACCGAGCUGCGGCUUUUGAGAGCUCAACUUCUUUCUCUUCAAUUGCUUUGCAACCAAUCCCGAGAAAUUUUGUCGGCUCCAUCAAUUCGGGUCCUUUGACAGGGAAUUUCGGGUCUUCUUCCGGGUUCGGGUCCACUGGAGAGGGGAUUCAUGUCGGGUCCAAU